Molecule: ribosomal RNA, 1343 nt
Filed under: uncultured bacterium
Lineage: Bacteria
Description: 16S ribosomal RNA
Rfam family: Bacterial small subunit ribosomal RNA
Source: RNAcentral
GACGAACGCUGGCGGCGUGCUUAACACAUGCAAGUCGAACGGAAAGGCCCUGCUUUUGUGGGGUGCUCGAGUGGCGAACGGGUGAGUAACACGUGAGUAACCUGCCCUUGACUUUGGGAUAACUUCAGGAAACUGGGGCUAAUACCGGAUAGGAGCUCCUGCUGCAUGGUGGGGGUUGGAAAGUUUCGGCGGUUGGGGAUGGACUCGCGGCUUAUCAGCUUGUUGGUGGGGUAGUGGCUUACCAAGGCUUUGACGGGUAGCCGGCCUGAGAGGGUGACCGGCCACAUUGGGACUGAGAUACGGCCCAGACUCCUACGGGAGGCAGCAGUGGGGAAUAUUGCACAAUGGGCGGAAGCCUGAUGCAGCAACGCCGCGUGCGGGAUGACGGCCUUCGGGCUGUAAACCGCUUUCGCCUGUGACGAAGCGUGAGUGACGGUAAUGGGUAAAGAAGCACCGGCUAACUACGUGCCAGCAGCCGCGGUGAUACGUAGGGUGCGAGCGUUGUCCGGAUUUAUUGGGCGUAAAGGGCUCGUAGGUGGUUGAUCGCGUCGGAAGUGUAAUCUUGGGGCUUAACCCUGAGCGUGCUUUCGAUACGGGUUGACUUGAGGAAGGUAGGGGAGAAUGGAAUUCCUGGUGGAGCGGUGGAAUGCGCAGAUAUCAGGAGGAACACCAGUGGCGAAGGCGGUUCUCUGGGCCUUUCCUGACGCUGAGGAGCGAAAGCGUGGGGAGCGAACAGGCUUAGAUACCCUGGUAGUCCACGCUGUAAACGGUGGGUACUAGGUGUGGGGUCCAUUCCACGGGUUCCGUGCCGUAGCUAACGCUUUAAGUACCCCGCCUGGGGAGUACGGCCGCAAGGCUAAAACUCAAAGGAAUUGACGGGGCCCCGCACAAGCGGCGGAGCAUGCGGAUUAAUUCGAUGCAACGCGUAGAACCUUACCUGGGUUUGACAUGGAUCGGGAGUGCUCAGAGAUGGGUGUGCCUCUUUUGGGGUCGGUUCACAGGUGGUGCAUGGCUGUCGUCAGCUCGUGUCGUGAGAUGUUGGGUUAAGUCCCGCAACGAGCGCAACCCUUGUUCACUGUUGCCAGCACGUUAUGGUGGGGACUCAGUGGAGACCGCCGGGGUCAACUCGGAGGAAGGUGGGGAUGACGUCAAGUCAUCAUGCCCCUUAUGUCCAGGGCUUCACGCAUGCUACAAUGGCUGGUACAGAGAGUGGCGAGCCUGUGAGGGUGAGCGAAUCUCGGAAAGCCGGCCUCAGUUCGGAUUGGGGUCUGCAACUCGACCUCAUGAAGUCGGAGUCACUAGUAAUCGCAGAUCAGCAACGCUGCGGUGAAUACGUUCCCGGG